UCCAUUCAACCAACUCUUUCCAGCAUUAAAGGAGUCUCCUUCAGUCUUCAAGUCUUCAAGACAUUCAAGAGGAGACCCCGAGUUCCAGAAGCCCUCCCUUACAUCUUCAUAAAUUUGUUUGAGGGCUCUUAACUUCUCUCUUAUUUAUAUCGCUGUAUAUCUGCUUGUUUAGAAGCUCUAUUUUUCUGUCUGUCUUUGUUCAAACCGUUUGUUCCUUACUUGAUUCA
This 227-nucleotide long non-coding RNA is filed under the name Phoenix dactylifera (date palm). RNAcentral's name for it is "long non-coding RNA (PDAC_LNC021604)". The record is from RNAcentral. Lineage: Eukaryota; Viridiplantae; Streptophyta; Magnoliopsida; Arecales; Arecaceae.